UGAUGAUGAUGAGGGCGAUUCCCGAUCAUACUCUUGAAAUUUUCCCAAGCAUGGUAAAGAUUCUUUCCACCUUUCUGCCUGAAAUUAAAAAUCUCACUUCUCAAAUA
Molecule: non-coding RNA, 107 nt
Organism: Capsicum annuum
Lineage: Eukaryota; Viridiplantae; Streptophyta; Magnoliopsida; Solanales; Solanaceae
Source: Rfam